ACAUUGAUAUCAAGCGCUGUGGCGACUCAACUAAACGAGUUUAAUGUCCAUUUUAAUACCACAGAAAUGUCGGUCGUAAUUCAGGGACAGAAAAGUUCUGUAUUUUUGCCUCUCUCAAGUCUCACGGAAGAUUGGCAGCAUUUCAUGAUAGUGUAUUCAUCAACCCAGGACAGUCUCCAAGCAUUUCAUAAUGGUCACAGCAUCCUUGACAACGUCGUUCCGGGCGGUCCUAUCACCACGAACAAUGGUUUCCUGGUUAUUGGCGCAAAACAAAACACCUAUAACUCGACUGCACAACUGAAGUAUCAGUUCAUUGGCGAACUUUCUUUGUUACAAAUAUAUCGACGGACUUUUCCAGCCCGUAUGAUUGCUGCUUUUGCCAGACGAUGCUGGAACAACCCUGGGGACUUUGUUGAAUGGGCCGAUCUGAGACUGCUUGUUGUUGGACAAGUGGAAACUCGAAAUCCGUCUGAGUGUAUGGAAAUUAAAAACGGCGAAUCGUAACUUCGUAAGGCUAGUU
This is a long non-coding RNA of Dendronephthya gigantea, 520 nucleotides long. RefSeq lists it as uncharacterized. NCBI's taxonomy places the organism in Eukaryota, Metazoa, Cnidaria, Anthozoa, Malacalcyonacea, Nephtheidae. The transcript has 2 exons. The record is from RefSeq and is a predicted model, not a curated record.